GACGAACGCUGGCGGCGUGCCUAAUACAUGCAAGUCGAACGCUUUUUCUUUCACCGGAGCUUGCUCCACCGAAAGAAAAAGAGUGGCGAACGGGUGAGUAACACGUGGGUAACCUGCCCAUCAGAAGGGGAUAACACUUGGAAACAGGUGCUAAUACCGUAUAACACUAUUUUCCGCAUGGAAGAAAGUUGAAAGGCGCUUUUGCGUCACUGAUGGAUGGACCCGCGGUGCAUUAACUAGUUGGUGAGGUAACGGCUCACCAAGGCAACGAUGCAUAGCCGACCUGAGAGGGUGAUCGGCCACACUGGGACUGAGACACGGCCCAGACUCCUACGGGAGGCAGCAGUAGGGAAUCUUCGGCAAUGGACGAAAGUCUGACCGAGCAACGCCGCGUGAGUGAAGAAGGUUUUCGGAUCGUAAAACUCUGUUGUUAGAGAAGAACAAGGAUGAGAGUAAAACGUUCAUCCCUUGACGUAUCUAACCAGAAGCC
Molecule: ribosomal RNA, 490 nt
Filed under: Enterococcus casseliflavus
Lineage: Bacteria; Bacillati; Bacillota; Bacilli; Lactobacillales; Enterococcaceae
Description: bacterial SSU rRNA
Rfam family: Bacterial small subunit ribosomal RNA
Source: RNAcentral